This 691-nucleotide ribosomal RNA is filed under the name uncultured bacterium. RNAcentral's name for it is "bacterial SSU rRNA". It matches the Rfam family "Bacterial small subunit ribosomal RNA", at positions 100 to 808 of the family's 1533-position model. The record is from RNAcentral.
GGACGGGUGAGUAACGCGUGAGCAACCUGCCCUUUGGAGGGGGAUAGUGUCUGGAAACGGACAGUAAUACCGCAUAACGUAUUUUUACCGCAUGAUAGAAAUACCAAAACUGAGGUGCCGAAGGAUGGGCUCGCGUUGGAUUAGAUAGUUGGUGGGGUAACGGCCUACCAAGUCGACGAUCCAUAGCCGGACUGAGAGGUUGAACGGCCACAUUGGGACUGAGACACGGCCCAGACUCCUACGGGAGGCAGCAGUGGGGAAUAUUGCACAAUGGGGGAAACCCUGAUGCAGCAACGCCGCGUGAAGGAAGACGGUUUUCGGAUUGUAAACUUCUGUUCUUAGUGAAGAAUAAUGACGGUAGCUAAGGAGCAAGCCACGGCUAACUACGUGCCAGCAGCCGCGGUAAUACGUAGGUGGCAAGCGUUGUCCGGAAUUACUGGGUGUAAAGGGAGCGCAGGCGGGAAGCCAAGUCAGCUGUGAAAACUACGGGCUUAACUUGUAGACUGCAGUUGAAACUGGUUUUCUUGAGUGAAGUAGAGGUUGGCGGAAUUCCGAGUGUAGCGGUGAAAUGCGUAGAUAUUCGGAGGAACACCGGUGGCGAAGGCGGCCAACUGGGCUUUAACUGACGCUGAGGCUCGAAAGUGUGGGGAGCAAACAGGAUUAGAUACCCUGGUAGUCCACACUGUAAACG